AACCAUAGAAACCUGCGGAGUACCUGCGGAGGGAUCAUUAUCGAGUGUGAACCCCCCCGUAAAAAGGGGGAGUUUCCUCCCGUCCUUUGCUGGGAACCCCCCUUUCAUUGGAAGGGGGGUUGCUUUCAGACCCUUUCUGCUUCGGCGGGGUUACCUGCCGAAACAACCUCAAAAAUUCUAAGUCAAAACUGUUCAGUCCGAGAAAAUUUUAAAAAAGCGAAAAACUUUCAACAACGGAUC
RNAcentral lists this unclassified non-coding RNA (240 nucleotides) under soil metagenome. Its description in RNAcentral is "partial contains 5.8S ribosomal RNA, internal transcribed spacer 2, and large subunit ribosomal RNA". The record is from RNAcentral.